RNAcentral lists this ribosomal RNA (329 nucleotides) under Allapsa sp. RNAcentral describes it as "SSU rRNA". The stretch from base 105 to 329 matches the Rfam family "Eukaryotic small subunit ribosomal RNA", at positions 733 to 955 of the family's 1831-position model. The record is from RNAcentral. Lineage: Eukaryota; Cercozoa; Glissomonadida; Allapsidae.
GAUUUCUGGUGUGGUGCAGCCGGCCCGCCACGGUGACGUGUGUGAGUGCCGGCUUGGCCAAGCCAUCCUUCUAGCGACACUGGUGCUACUCUUCACUGAGCCGGUACCAGCGCACUAGAUCGUUUACUUUGAAAAAAUUAGAGUGUUUAAAGCAGGCGUUGCAGGCUAUGAAUACAUUAGCAUGGAAUAAUAAGUUAGGACUUUGGUUCUAUUUUGUUGGUGUUUGCGGACUGAAGUAAUGAUUGAUAGGGAUAGUUGGGGGUGCUAGUAUUCAGUGGCCAGAGGUGAAAUUCUUGGAUUCACUGAAGACUAACUUAUGCGAAAGCAUU